This 471-nucleotide ribosomal RNA is filed under the name Triticum aestivum (bread wheat). RNAcentral describes it as "partial small subunit ribosomal RNA". Lineage: Eukaryota; Viridiplantae; Streptophyta; Magnoliopsida; Poales; Poaceae. The record is from RNAcentral.
AUGGCAUCCCCGGGCCCGCGCUCACGGCUCCAACGCGGACUCCGCCUCCGCCUCCAGCACCGGUCGACGAGCCCGGCUUCUUCGUCUUCGUGCCGUUCCCAAACGGCGCCGGAGGGACGACCCAAGCCGCUGGCUCGACGCCGGUCGCGCAGCCUGGAGACGCGGAUGCCGGCCCGUGUCGCAGCGCCGACGAGGCACCACCGUCCCCGCGCACGGUCGCCCGACCGCACCGCCAGGACUCCGCGAGCAUGGAGGGACGCCGCCGCCUCUUCGGUCGCGCCAUCGCCGCCAUCGACCGCCGCCCUAGUCGUCGCUCCGGUCUCGCCCCCAAUCUACCCAACGGCGCCGCUGCAGGCGCCAUCGACGUCUCCUCAUCCGAGGAAGAUGGAGGCGCGCCAGCGAGCCGCCCGUAUGCGGCGGCGGCACCCAGGCGUGGAUUUGGUCAGAAGGAUUGGGGGAUCGCUCCCCUAA